This 1026-nucleotide long non-coding RNA is filed under the name Anser brachyrhynchus (Pink-footed goose). RNAcentral describes it as "lncRNA (ENSABRG00000002052.1)". Lineage: Eukaryota; Metazoa; Chordata; Aves; Anseriformes; Anatidae. The record is from RNAcentral.
AUGCUGAAGAGCAGCAGGGGGAGACACAGGGUGAGGGCUGUGAGGAACGGAUCGGGUGGACGAGCCCAGAAAGCUGCAUCAGAGCUCAUCCACGCUCCCUGCUUUGACCUGCGGUGCUCAGGCGUCUGGCAGCAGAAGGCUCUACGAAGAGAGAAGAGGAGCAGCUCCCUGAGCCCGUGGAGAACUGGAUCUGCUCCAUUUGGGCAUCCUCUCAGAGCCCGUACCUACACUGCCCGGCCAGCCAGGGCUCCCAGAGGGGCUCAACAGCAUCGAGCAUCGCCGACAGAAAGUGCAGGGCUCCUGGGACACGGACAGGAAAGCAGCGCAAGCCAGGAGCCUUCCAAUAGUACAUAUUUUUCUCUUGAAACGUGCCCUAGGUUGAUCUGGUUUAAGGCAGUCAUCCAGCAGCAAGCUGCUUGCCCCCUCUCCCUGGCCCACCUUGCAGGGAUCAGUAUGGUAUUCAUGAGGGCAAAAUCCAAAGACAAACCCCCAGAGAAUGGCUCUUCCCCUGCCAUACGAGGCCAGACGGGUAACCUGCGGCACGGUACCGCUGGGGAAGCAGGGAGAAAGCUGUCAGUCCUACUGCAGGGGCAUUGCUCAAAAAACCACAAAGCACCAAAACACACCAAGAUCACCGAGCAGAGAAGCUGGCAGAGGGCACAGGAGCGGUGCGGGAGGAGGAGGCUGCUCCACCCGUGCUCUCCCCCCCUUGUCACACCCCGUCGGCCGCAGUCCCCACAGCCCGUUCCCCCCCCGAGCCCUCCUCUUGGAUCAUUAAUGCCAAAAACAAGGCAGCGAGCCCAGGUCGGAGGCCUAGCAGAGGCUGAAAGCACAUUCCUUCCCCAGCCUCCUCCCUCCUUAUCUCCUUCCCCUCUCCCCCAAAAACACGUUCAGAUAAAAGUGAUUGGAACAGUAAAACCCGUAACUGAAACACGAGCGGGAGAGGGACGGGGGCUGCGCUGCGCUCUGUCCAGCAGGCCUGCCGGAGCAGAAAAAAGGCAAAGGCGAGCCCAGGAUCACCUCUAA